GAUGAACGCUGGCGGCGUGCCUAAUACAUGCAAGUCGAGCGAACAGACGAGGAGCUUGCUCCUCUGACGUUAGCGGCGGACGGGUGAGUAACACGUGGAUAACCUACCUAUAAGACUGGGAUAACUUCGGGAAACCGGAGCUAAUACCGGAUAAUAUAUUGAACCGCAUGGUUCAAUAGUGAAAGACGGUUUUGCUGUCACUUAUAGAUGGAUCCGCGCCGCAUUAGCUAGUUGGUAAGGUAACGGCUUACCAAGGCAACGAUGCGUAGCCGACCUGAGAGGGUGAUCGGCCACACUGGAACUGAGACACGGUCCAGACUCCUACGGGAGGCAGCAGUAGGGAAUCUUCCGCAAUGGGCGAAAGCCUGACGGAGCAACGCCGCGUGAGUGAUGAAGGUCUUCGGAUCGUAAAACGCUGUUAUUAGGGAAGAACAAAUGUGUAAGUAACUAUGCACGUCUUGACGGUACCGAAUCAGAAAGCCACGGCUAACUACGUG
Molecule: ribosomal RNA, 497 nt
Filed under: uncultured bacterium
Lineage: Bacteria
Description: partial 16S ribosomal RNA
Rfam family: Bacterial small subunit ribosomal RNA
Source: RNAcentral